GACGAACGCUGGCGGCGUGCUUAACACAUGCAAGUCGAACGGAAAGGCCCUGCUUUUGUGGGGUGCUCGAGUGGCGAACGGGUGAGUAACACGUGAGUAACCUGCCCUUGACUUUGGGAUAACUUCAGGAAACUGGGGCUAAUACCGGAUAGGAGCUCCUGCUGCAUGGUGGGGGUUGGAAAGUUUCGGCGGUUGGGGAUGGACUCGCGGCUUAUCAGCUUGUUGGUGGGGUAGUGGCUUACCAAGGCUUUGACGGGUGGCCGGCCUGCGAGGGUGACCGGCCACAUUGGGACUGAGAUACGGCCCAGACUCCUACGGGAGGCAGCAGUGGGGAAUAUUGCACAAUGGGCGGAAGCCUGAUGCAGCAACGCCGCGUGCGGGAUGACGGCCUUCGGGUUGUAAACCGCUUUCGCCUGUGACGAAGCGUGAGUGACGGUAAUGGGUAAAGAAGCACCGGCUAACUACGUG
RNAcentral lists this ribosomal RNA (468 nucleotides) under uncultured bacterium. RNAcentral describes it as "partial 16S ribosomal RNA". It matches the Rfam family "Bacterial small subunit ribosomal RNA", at positions 28 to 507 of the family's 1533-position model. The record is from RNAcentral.